Molecule: ribosomal RNA, 216 nt
Filed under: Glomeromycotina sp.
Lineage: Eukaryota; Fungi; Glomeromycota
Description: partial small subunit ribosomal RNA
Rfam family: Eukaryotic small subunit ribosomal RNA (bases 75-216)
Source: RNAcentral
GGGUCAGUAGGUUGGUCGUGCCACCGGUACGUACUGGUCUCACUGACUCCUCCUUCCUGAAGAACCGUAAUGCCAUUAAUUUGGUGUUGCGGGGAAACAGGACUGUUACCUUGAAAAAAUUAGAGUGUUUAAAGCAAGCUAACGCUUGAAUACAUUAGCAUGGAAUAAUGAAAUAGGACGAUCGAUCCUAUUUUGUUGGUUUCUAGGAUUGACGUA